This 493-nucleotide ribosomal RNA is filed under the name uncultured bacterium. Its description in RNAcentral is "partial 16S ribosomal RNA". It matches the Rfam family "Bacterial small subunit ribosomal RNA", at positions 28 to 507 of the family's 1533-position model. The record is from RNAcentral.
GACGAACGCUGGCGGCGUGCUUAACACAUGCAAGUCGAACGGUGAAGGGACUGGUUUUUGCUGGUUCUGGAUGAGUGGCGAACGGGUGAGUAACACGUGAGUAACCUGCCCCCUUCUUCUGGAUAACCGCAUGAAAGUGUGGCUAAUACGGGAUAUUCUGCGCCUGCUGCAUGGUGGGUGUGGGAAAGAUAUUGUUUCGGUGGGGGAUGGGCUCGCGGCCUAUCAGCUUGUUGGUGGGGUGAUGGCCUACCAAGGCGGUGACGGGUAGCCGGCCUGAGAGGGUGGACGGUCACACUGGGACUGAGACACGGCCCAGACUCCUACGGGAGGCAGCAGUGGGGAAUAUUGCACAAUGGGCGCAAGCCUGAUGCAGCGACGCCGCGGGAGGGAUGGAGGCCUGCGGGUUGUAAACCUCUUUCGCCAGUGAAGCAGGCCUGUCCCUUUUGUGGGUGGGUUGACGGUAGCUGGAUAAGAAGCGCCGGCUAACUACGUG